RNAcentral lists this ribosomal RNA (253 nucleotides) under uncultured bacterium. Its description in RNAcentral is "partial 16S ribosomal RNA". It matches the Rfam family "Bacterial small subunit ribosomal RNA", at positions 524 to 776 of the family's 1533-position model. The record is from RNAcentral.
GACGAACCGUGCAAACGUUGUUCGGAAUCACUGGGCUUAAAGGGCGCGUAGGCGGGUUCCCAAGUCGGUGGUGAAAUCUUUCGGCCCAACCGGAAAAGUGCCGCCGAUACUGGGAGUCUCGAGGGAGGUAGGGGUCGAUGGAACUUCCGGUGGAGCGGUGAAAUGCGUAGAUAUCGGAAGGAACGCCGGUGGCGAAAGCGACCGACUGGACCUCUUCUGACGCUGAGGCGCGAAAGCCAGGGGAGCAAACGGG